AUACGUAGGGGACAAGCGUUAUCCGGAUUUACUGGGUGUAAAGGGAGCGUAGGCGGCCAGCCAAGUCAGAAGUGAAAUCCCACGGCUCAACUGUGGGCGUGCUUUUGAAACUGGAGGGCUUGAGUACUGGAGGGGCAAGCGGAAUUCCUGGUGUAGCGGUGAAAUGCAUAGUUAUCAGGAAGAACACCGGAGGCGAAGGCGGCUUGGUGGACAGAGACUGACGCUGAGGCUCGAAGGCGUGGGGAGCAAACAGGAUUAGAUUCCCUGGUAGUCCGCGCGGUAAACGAUGAAUGCUGGGUAUUGGGAUCCAUAGGGUCUCGGUGCCGCAGUUAACGCAAUAAGCAUUCCACCUGGGGAGUGCGUUCGCAAGAAUGAAACUCAAAGGAAUUGACGGGG
Molecule: ribosomal RNA, 396 nt
Filed under: uncultured bacterium
Lineage: Bacteria
Description: partial 16S ribosomal RNA
Rfam family: Bacterial small subunit ribosomal RNA
Source: RNAcentral